RNAcentral lists this ribosomal RNA (1211 nucleotides) under Picea glauca (white spruce). RNAcentral describes it as "bacterial SSU rRNA". The stretch from base 567 to 1211 matches the Rfam family "Bacterial small subunit ribosomal RNA", at positions 875 to 1520 of the family's 1533-position model. The record is from RNAcentral. Lineage: Eukaryota; Viridiplantae; Streptophyta; Pinopsida; Pinales; Pinaceae.
AUGCAGUUCAAAACCUACAAUCAUGUUCCCUCUAAUGCAUUAAUCAAACGUUUAACUAAGGUGUCAAAUCAAUAUUGCAUACAAUUGAUAUGCCAAGGGCUAUGAUAAUGAUCAACAACAAGGAUCACCAAAUAUAAAUCAUGACCUUGACGCAAUUCAAUGAAUCAAUGUUUUAGGAAAGUCAUGAAAUGCGAAUGCAAAGGCUAAAUGUUUCCAAUAAAAUUGAGUUAUAUAAUCCAUCGCAGUAUGAAACCGAUCAAAGGAUAUUGCUGAUCAUGUGAAGAUCAAUAAAAAAAAUAGGCGCAAUAAGCAUGAUGACACAAAAGAUACCGACAGUUCAGAUAAUGAUCAAAAUGUGACCUCGAAGGGAGACAUUUUCAUGCUUACAAUUGUGAAGACUUAGCGAAGACAAGCGCGCGAAAAGGCGCAAAGAAUAAAAGCGUCGUUCAUUUGAAAUUUGCGACGAAAAAUCAAUGUUUGUGAAACAUUGGUGUAGGCAGCUUAUGAGGUAAUGAAAAAUGUGAAUUGGCUGCCAACAUGUAGCUAAUGUGUUAAGUAUCCCGCCCGAGGAGUACGUUCUCAAGAAUGAAACUCAAAGGAGUUGACAGGGGCCUGCACAAGCGGUGGAGCAUGUGGUUCAAUUUGAUGCAAAGUGAAUAACCUUACCAGGGCUUGACAUGCCGUGAAUCCUCCCGAAAGAGAGGAGUGCCUUCGGGAACGCGGACAUAGGUGGUGCAUGGAUUUUGUUAGCUCGUGCCAUAAGGUGUUGGGUUAAGUCUUGCAAUGAGUGAAACCCUUGUGUUUAGUUUCUAGCAUUGAUUUUGGAACCCUGAAUAGACUGCUGAUGAUAAGACGAAGGAAGGUGAGGAUGACAUCAAGUCAUCAUGCCCCUUAUGCCCUGGGUGACACACAUGCUACAAUGAUCAGGACAAAGGGUCGCGACCCUGCAAGGGCAAGGUAACCUCAAAAACUCGGCCUUAGUUCGGAUUGCGGGAUGCAACUUGCCUGCAUGAAGCCAAAAUCACUAGUAAUCGCCGGUUAGCCAUACGACGGUGAAUCCAUUCCCAGGCCUUGUACACACCGCCCGUCACACUAUGGGAGCUGGCCAUGCCCCAAGUCGUUACCUUAACUAAAAGGAGGGGGAUGACGAAUGCUGGGCUAGUGACUAGAGUGAAGUCGUAACAAGGUAGCCGUAUUGGAAGGUGUGGCUG